UCAAAUGCCACAAUCUCUCACAAUAACCAGAUGGAAGGCAUACACAAACUGUGCACGCACGGAAGUGCCGCAGCUCGAGGGUCCCGCCAUGUCUUCACUGUAGUACUCCUAGUCGUGAGACGUUUACCUCGGCAAUUACAUUACCGGUGGCUGUAGUACUUCUGAUUUGUUAAACUAUAUUUAUGUUUUUACUCCUGUUGAAGAUAAAUCUGAUUUAGCUGUGUCUGUGAGUUUUCACAAGUGCUCUUCUACUCUGGGUAGCCCAAUGUUGUAGCUAUUAUUGGCAGUGCUUAAGUUUCAGUCGCUAUCAUAGGUUAUUUCGAAUUGAUACUUUUUUUCUAUUUAGAAAUAUUGUUGCAUUAACCUUUCAAACUAAGGCAAGGUACUUUCGGUUUUUCUAAUCUAGCAAUUUUCCAAUUUAGAAAUGUUCUUAUUUACUACACAGUAUACCUAGCUAGCAACUGCAGGUAGAGCAAGUUUUCUGUUACAGUAACCUGGCUAACUAUCUACUGCAGCUAGUUAACUUACACAACUACUUAACCAACAUCUGCUUAGUUUGUUAAGCCGACAUCAUUUCUGGACAAAGAACCUCAGCUUUCCCUGACACUAAGAACUACAGAGCAAGCAACUGAAGUGCCGUUCUGGGUCCCAACAACAAAGGAAGGGGAAGAUAGAACUGAUGUGACGGAGAGGUGAUGGACGGCGCCGCCAUCUCCCGCUUUUCCCGGUUGCCCAUUUGUUCAUGAACUCACCCCGGACUCCUUCAUUGUCUUGUCUCCAAUUGUCACUCACGUUUUUUCAGUUUAUUUCUCAGUAUUAGAAGAACCCAAUAAAGAGUAAGGCGUUAAUAUUUUUGUAUUAUUUGUAAAAAUUGGCCGUUUGAUAAUAUCUCUUAUGUGAUCAGUUAGAUUUCAGUGAUUCGAGAAGGAUAUACCUCUAUAAAUGGAAUAAGUAAUUGUUAAGCUUGGUUAUUGCCAUUGAAGACCUGCAAUUUAAUUGCUAGGUGAACUAGGUGGGAUUUCUUACUUUAUCCUUCCUGUUUGUUUUGAAGUCCCACACAAUUCUGAUUUUAAUUUCUGUACAAUUGACCAACUUGGGAGAGUGUGAGGUGGGUGAUCAACAAAAACUUUUUUUAUUACAUUUUCUUGAUUGUUUGUAAAUGUUAUACUUUUUUUUUUUACUACAUUUCAUAUGGGGCUCUUCUAUAUUAUGUCAUGUACUUUGUUAGGAGAAAAUAUCUGGACUGAUGAUCUAACAGCAUUGACAUAAUUAUAUCUGGAAAGGGGUUGAUAGAAUAAAUGUAUACAUAAUACCUCACAUGCUCACUGUAAAACUAAAGUCUGUUUAGAGCCCUGCUGAAUUGUGUUGUGAACCUUUAAGAGGGCAUAGGACAGUUGUAGUGGAUAAACACAAAGUUUGAGAGAAGUGUCAUGUGAGAUAUGUUGACUGGACAGAAAUUAACUUAACUACCU
This is a long non-coding RNA of Esox lucius (northern pike), 1472 nucleotides long. RefSeq lists it as uncharacterized. The record is from RefSeq and is a predicted model, not a curated record. The transcript has 3 exons. Lineage: Eukaryota; Metazoa; Chordata; Actinopteri; Esociformes; Esocidae.